RNAcentral lists this ribosomal RNA (253 nucleotides) under uncultured bacterium. RNAcentral's name for it is "partial 16S ribosomal RNA". It matches the Rfam family "Bacterial small subunit ribosomal RNA", at positions 524 to 776 of the family's 1533-position model. The record is from RNAcentral.
UAAGGAGGUGGCAAGCGUUGCUCGGAAUCACUGGGCGUAAAGGGCGCGUAGGCGGGGAGGUAAGUCGGGUGUGAAAUCCCUCGGCCCAACCGAGGAACUGCGCCCGAGACUGCUUCUCUUGAGUCCCGGAGAGGAAGAUGGAAUUCCCGGUGUAGCGGUGAAAUGUGUAGAGAUCGGGAGGAACACCGGUGGCGAAGGCGGUCUUCUGGACGGUGACUGACGCUGAGGCGCGAAAGCGUGGGGAGCAAACGGG